This is a long non-coding RNA of Arachis ipaensis, 279 nucleotides long. RefSeq lists it as uncharacterized. The record is from RefSeq and is a predicted model, not a curated record. NCBI's taxonomy places the organism in Eukaryota, Viridiplantae, Streptophyta, Magnoliopsida, Fabales, Fabaceae.
UACAAGGAUCAUAUCACCCUCAAAGAUUACGAGAUCCACGACGGCAUGGGCCUCGAGCUCUACUACAACUAAAAUUUCUCUUCAAAGGUGCUAUUAAUGGCGUAAUAUAGUAUGUGCUGAGAAAUGGAUAAAUGCAUCGAAUGUAACUCUUGACUCGCAAAAAACCCCUUUGAUUAGAAUAAUGUACAUACCCGGAUGAUAUUGGGUUUAAUUUGUUGUUGGAACAAUCUAUUACUUUGUUAUAGAUAACACAUUUGACAUGUUCCAGGUUUAUAUGAA